This 465-nucleotide ribosomal RNA is filed under the name Vreelandella stevensii. RNAcentral describes it as "partial 16S ribosomal RNA". It matches the Rfam family "Bacterial small subunit ribosomal RNA", at positions 338 to 795 of the family's 1533-position model. The record is from RNAcentral. Lineage: Bacteria; Pseudomonadati; Pseudomonadota; Gammaproteobacteria; Oceanospirillales; Halomonadaceae.
CCUACGGGGUGCUGCAGUGGGGAAUAUUGGACAAUGGGCGAAAGCCUGAUCCAGCCAUGCCGCGUGUGUGAAGAAGGCCUUCGGGUUGUAAAGCACUUUCAGUGGGGAAGAAAGCCUUGGGGCUAAUACCCUCGAGGAAGGACAUCACCCACAGAAGAAGCACCGGCUAACUCCGUGCCAGCAGCAGCGGUAAUACGGAGGGUGCGAGCGUUAAUCGGAAUUACUGGGCGUAAAGCGCGCGUAGGCGGUCUGAUAAGCCGGUUGUGAAAGCCCCGGGCUCAACCUGGGAACGGCAUCCGGAACUGUCAGGCUAGAGUGCAGGAGAGGAAGGUAGAAUUCCCGGUGUAGCGGUGAAAUGCGUAGAGAUCGGGAGGAAUACCAGUGGCGAAGGCGGCCUUCUGGACUGACACUGACGCUGAGGUGCGAAAGCGUGGGUAGCAAACAGGAUUAGAUACCCUAGUAGUC